This 211-nucleotide long non-coding RNA is filed under the name Panax ginseng (ginseng). RNAcentral's name for it is "long non-coding RNA (PGIN_LNC012191)". The record is from RNAcentral. Lineage: Eukaryota; Viridiplantae; Streptophyta; Magnoliopsida; Apiales; Araliaceae.
UUGAAUGACAACCCUUAUGAGUAUGACUCAAAAGAAAUACGCACAAUAUUAUAGAAGAAGAAUUUUCUCAUUCUUGUGUGAUUUUUAUUUCUUAACUAAGCAACUAUUUUUAGGAGAAUGGCAGGGCACUAUUUAAAAGAAAAUCACGGACAAAUAGUUAAAAAAAACUCACUGAUGAAUUCGACAAAAAUUUGAUUUUACUAUGCAGCAC